GGAUUGGGACGAAGGACCGUUAGCGUACCCGAAGAAGCUAAUCAUGCAGAGAUCUCAUCGCUCUUUUGUGAAGUUUUUCCAAAACUGAGAGAAUUAGAUGGGGCUUGGAUGAUAUACAAAGCAGCUGGUGGAUCUGGCCAACGUUCACUGACAGUGGUGGCACCUGAUGCAGAGGGUUACACUGGUUUAUAUAUAAUUAAGGCAGCAGGAGGAAAGGCAUGCCUCUACAUAAUGCCAAUUCAGCAUAAAUGAGAUACUUCACCAUUACCAAUGUCAGCCAAAGAAUUUGAAAGGAUGCCUAAAGCCAAGUGCAUUACCUGUCAGGUUUAUGUGCCAAUACAGCUGCUAGCUUUUCAUGUGGCCAAAUGUGAGCAAAAUAGCAUCCCUGAUUGUGAGGUAAGAUGUACUGAAAACACCCUCACUGCUUGUUUAAAUCUUAAAUAAUUUUACAAUAAUUUAUUUGACACAUUUUUUACAGAUAAUCUCUGGUGAUGAGUCCAGUUUGGAAUCCAACAUUGAUGAUUUUG
Triplophysa rosa is the source of this 527-nucleotide long non-coding RNA. RefSeq lists it as uncharacterized. Lineage: Eukaryota; Metazoa; Chordata; Actinopteri; Cypriniformes; Nemacheilidae. The record is from RefSeq and is a predicted model, not a curated record. The transcript is spliced from 3 exons.